Molecule: long non-coding RNA, 584 nt
Organism: Sapajus apella (tufted capuchin)
Lineage: Eukaryota; Metazoa; Chordata; Mammalia; Primates; Cebidae
Exons: 3
Source: RefSeq, a predicted model, not a curated record
CCAUCAAUAACUGCCUGAGACCACUCCUGGGCCAUUUCCUCGAUGCCCCGCCCCUCCUGGGGGCCGGUCCAAUCCCAUCUUCCCAGCAGGCCCCGCCGAUAGGAACUCCCCGGGACAGUUUCUGGGCUGCUUCCCCGAGGUCCCGCCCCUGACGCCCCGAGCGCUCUCGUGGCUGAGGACCCGCUUGGGACCUGGCCAGGUGUUCCUGGGGUUAGGCUGCAAGCCGUGUGUUGUGCCGGGCACCACAGAUGCGGGGUGGAAUGAGGCAGAGUCCCACACCUCAGGAGCCACCAUCUUGCUGGAGGACAGAAGGAAGCCAAGUCUCUGGCUGGUGCUGUGUGAAGCACAGGCUGUGCAAUGUAGAGGUGGAGACAGAGACGCCAGCACACACCACAUAGUGACCCAUAGGUAUGUAUGGGGCAGGUGUGUACAGGGCAGAGGUGUACAGGGCAGGUGUAUAUGGGCUGGUGUGUAUGGGGCAGGUGUGUACGGGACAGGUGUGUAUGGGGCAGGGGUGUACGGGACAGGUGUGUAUGGGGCAGGGGUGUACGGGACAGGUGUGUACGGGGCAGGUGUGUACGGGG